GAUGAAAUAGGCGAUGGAGUUCGCCAUAACUGCCGAAAGGCUGAUGACUCCUACCCGUGU
Molecule: non-coding RNA, 60 nt
Filed under: Thermobacillus composti
Lineage: Bacteria; Bacillati; Bacillota; Bacilli; Caryophanales; Paenibacillaceae
Also listed under: 1 other name
Description: Fluoride sequence
Rfam family: Fluoride riboswitch aptamer (crcB RNA motif)
Source: RNAcentral